RNAcentral lists this long non-coding RNA (643 nucleotides) under Homo sapiens (human). Its description in RNAcentral is "HSALNT0252155". Lineage: Eukaryota; Metazoa; Chordata; Mammalia; Primates; Hominidae. The record is from RNAcentral.
ACCAGGUGACAUGUGAGACAUAUGUCUAAUUAAAACAAAACAUAUCUUUUAAACUCAGCACACAAUUCUCUUCGCAGGUUCUAAAUAUAGCUGGGCAAGGCUUCGGAUUUUAGUGGGAGAUGGCCAGAGGCGAAGCAACUGAUAAAAGUAGCUGAAUAGGAAUGAGCUUGAAGAUUUCCUUUUUGAAGGAAUACGGGAGAUACUCCUGAGGUCACGUAUUUGAUUAAUGUUGAGAUGUUUGCUCAGCCUCCCUUAUCAAGGGGAGGGCACCUGCGUGGGGUGUGGAGCAUACUUUGCAGAUGCCAAGUGCCCAGCAGCACCCAACGGUGUCUCUCAAUACGUGAUCCAGAGACAGAGGCUCAUUCCCCCACCAUGGCACCCCGACCCUGGGAGUCUGGGCCUGCCUGGGUGUGGGUGAUAGGCAGCCAGCCACACAGAGGGACAGGCAAAGUGUUGCCAGAGCAAUUUGAAUGCAUCCCCACUCCACCACCCUUGUAAUAUGGAAUGAUCUCCCCAUCUUUCCUUCCUGAGCUGGGAGGUGGGUUCGAGUGAGCACAGCCGGAUACCAUGGUAGGGCAUACUCAGAGAAGGCCGGUGGGGAGAGGCUGGAUUUUUCAUUUCUUUCUUGUCUUUCUUGUCCUAG